GCCCAGUUCGCUCAGUGGUAGAGCAUAAGAUUGGAAAUCUUAGCCUUUCGAGGCCCGCAGGUUCGAUUCCUGCACUGGGCG
RNAcentral lists this transfer RNA (81 nucleotides) under Candidatus Pacearchaeota archaeon. Its description in RNAcentral is "tRNA-Ser". It matches the Rfam family "tRNA". From Rfam's summary of the family: Transfer RNA (tRNA) molecules are approximately 80 nucleotides in length. Their secondary structure includes four short double-helical elements and three loops (D, anti-codon, and T loops). The record is from RNAcentral. Lineage: Archaea; Nanobdellati.